Cyprinus carpio carpio is the source of this 1186-nucleotide long non-coding RNA. NCBI's taxonomy places the organism in Eukaryota, Metazoa, Chordata, Actinopteri, Cypriniformes, Cyprinidae. The record is from Ensembl.
AAAAUUUUCUUUUGGGGUGGAGUAUCCCUUUAAGAUAAGCAUGUUCCCUUAUUAAUUCAUAUUAAAAUUUAAAAUUUUACGUCCAUCUUAUUUGCCAACUAAACAGAUUUUUAUAUUAAAGCAAUUUGUUGCAAGAAUAUCUGAGAACAGGAUCAAACUCUUCUCAGGAAUGGAUGAGAAGACAGCCAUGAUGCAAUCUCAGUGUAGCAGAUGAAUGUGUGUUUGUGUGGAUGUGAAAACCAGAGCAAAUAAAGAGCAGCGAUUGCUCUGGAUGAUCACUGACAAGUACAAACCAUCAGAUUACAGAUCCAGCUGUGAAACACUGUUGACUUCUAUCUUCAAAUAAGGACGAAUGACUUAUGUGCACUUGACCUGAUAAUGUGCAGCUUUCAUUUUUUUGACCCACUCACUGGACAUCUCAAAGAGAGACAAAUGGACAUGCAAGCCAAGUGUAAAGCAUUCAUUGCCACUUCCACGUGCAGCUGUUUGAUGAGCUGUCCAGUGAAACCGGUGGGAAAUUCAGGAGUGCAUCUCAUUAAAUGUCAAGAACAUACCUAUCAUGUUACAGCAAAAUCAAAACACACUAUCCCUCUAUUAUUAUUAUUUGUUUUAAAUUACUGAUUGUAAAUGAUUUCGAUUUUAAAGUAUUUGUUCUCUAACAAAUGUAACUGAUACAGAUUUUAAGUCAUCAAUUGUGUUUGGACAGAUGUUUGUCAUGCGUGAUUUGCAUAAAAAUGUAACCAUUGUCCUAAAAAAUGCAUCAUGCAAAAAAUUGAUGUUUAAUUAAAUUCCUUAUUCAAAAAUAUAUUUUUUAAUUAAAACAUGAACCAGAUAUUUCUAUGUGAGUUUCCCCUUUAGAAAUCAGAAAUAAUCAUUACUGUAAAGAGCAUUUAUUCAUAUUGCACAAACUGUGAAGGUUUUUUAAAAUUAUUUUUAGUUGGUUGCAUUUGGUUUGUGUUUUGUGAUGUUUUGCACAAGUGCUUUAUAUAUCAAACAUACAUCUAUGUUGGUGAAUUAAAAUAGAACCAUCUUUGUACUGCACAUGAAUGUGUUUAAAUGAACUGGAUACAACUUGUAUGUCUUUAGAAAAAUGUUCUUAUUUCUGAAGCCUCUGGUGUUUUUAUGUACAGUCAUUUUCUUGUUCUAUGAGAAGAAUGUAGUUCAUAUUAAAGAAUUAUAAAGCAAG